GACGUAGGGGGCAAGCGUUAAUCGGAAUUACUGGGCGUAAAGCGUGCGCAGGCGGUGAUGUAAGACAGGUGUGAAAUCCCCGGGCUUAACCUGGGAACUGCAUCCGAUACUGGAUGGCUUGAAUCCGGGAGAGGGAUGCAGAAUUCCAGGUGUAGCGGUGAAAUGCGUAGAUAUCUGGAGGAAUACCGGUGGCGAAGGCGGCAUCCUGGGCUAACACUGACGCUCAUGCACGAAAGCGUGGGGAGCAAACAGG
This 253-nucleotide ribosomal RNA is filed under the name uncultured bacterium. RNAcentral's name for it is "partial 16S ribosomal RNA". It matches the Rfam family "Bacterial small subunit ribosomal RNA", at positions 524 to 776 of the family's 1533-position model. The record is from RNAcentral.